AGGAUGAACGCUGGCGGCGUGCCUAACACAUGCAAGUCGAACGUCCUGUCUCGCAAGAGGCAGGGAGUGGCGGACGGGUGAGUACCACGUGGGUCAUCUACCGUGAGGUGAGGAAUACCGGCGAGAAAUCGCCGACAAGACCGCAUAGGCUCGAUGCAAGUCGAGCAAAGCUCUUUCGAGAGAGGGAGCGCCACACGAGGAGCCUGCGCCCGAUUAGCUAGCUGGUGGAGUAACGGUUCACCAGGGCGACGAUCGGUAGCUGGUCUGAGAGGACGAUCAGCCACACUGGGAUUGAGAACGGCCCAGACUCCUACGGGGGGCAGCAGUGAGGAAUUUCGUCAAUGGGGGCAACCCUGAACGAGCAACGCCGCGUGCAGGAAGAAGGUUUUCGGAUCGUAAACUGCUUUUCUCGGGAAGAGAACGGACGGUACCCGAGGAAUCGAGCCCCGGCUAACUACGCGCCAGCAGCCGCGGU
RNAcentral lists this ribosomal RNA (475 nucleotides) under uncultured bacterium. RNAcentral describes it as "SSU rRNA". It matches the Rfam family "Bacterial small subunit ribosomal RNA", at positions 26 to 521 of the family's 1533-position model. The record is from RNAcentral.